RNAcentral lists this ribosomal RNA (252 nucleotides) under uncultured bacterium. Its description in RNAcentral is "partial small subunit ribosomal RNA". It matches the Rfam family "Bacterial small subunit ribosomal RNA", at positions 26 to 285 of the family's 1533-position model. The record is from RNAcentral.
AGGACGAACGCUGGCGGCGUGCUUAACACAUGCAAGUCGAGCGGAAAGGCCCUUCGGGGUACUCGAGCGGCGAACGGGUGAGUAACACGUGAGUAAUCUGCCCUUAGCUCUGGGAUAGCUCCGGGAAACCGGGAUUAAUACCAGAUACGACCACUCUAGACAUCUUCUGUGGUGGAAAGAAUUUCGGCUGGGGAUGAACUCGCGGCCUAUCAGCUUGUUGGUGAGGUACGGCUCACCAAGCGACGACGGGUA